AUGGUAUAGUAUAAAUAGUUUAUUUUAUGUAAUAUGCUUAAUGAAUUUUUAUAAGUAACAACUUUUUUAAUUCAUUUAGAUCCUUCGAAUUGGAUAGUUUGUUAUUCAAAAUUAUGCUUCGAUAAAGUCAUUGAUAAAUCUUUAAGUUUUACAAAGAUUAAUGUUUAAGACAGUUUAACUGAUUCCCACAGCAAAAAAGAACUUUAAAAUGCUGUUGGCAAUAAUCUAAACCCCACAUCUGAUCUAAAAGAAGGCGAAUGACAUAAAGUGUUUCAACAGUCGAUUCUUGGAAAAUAACAAGUGGAUAAAGAAGUUUAAAAAAAAAUGUAAUUUAUAAAAUUUAGCACAAUUAUAUUAUUAAAAAGUUUACGCAAA
Hydra vulgaris (swiftwater hydra) is the source of this 375-nucleotide long non-coding RNA. RefSeq lists it as uncharacterized. NCBI's taxonomy places the organism in Eukaryota, Metazoa, Cnidaria, Hydrozoa, Anthoathecata, Hydridae. The record is from RefSeq and is a predicted model, not a curated record.